Non-coding RNA from Pelobates cultripes (western spadefoot toad), 585 nucleotides. The record is from the annotation of a GenBank genome assembly. NCBI's taxonomy places the organism in Eukaryota, Metazoa, Chordata, Amphibia, Anura, Pelobatidae.
AUUACCUCCAAACUGGCAGGGUCAUUCGUUGCCCAUAUUUUCAAUAUCAAAAGACAGGACUUUCUCAAGUUUACCAAACUGCAAUACCAGGAACCUCAUAACAAAGCACCUUUAAAUGUUACAAGUGAUCAGGUGGUUCUCAAAAAUCAGGUCACCAUCAGUAAACAUUUAUAUAAUAAAAAAAAGCUUUAUUUGCCGAGAUUAUAAACCUUUAAUUAGCACAACGGACUGCAAGUGGGUGUGGAUAAAUAUGACUUUGAUUUUGGUCUGUCCAUACCAUCUACAGUGGACUGCAAGUGGGUGUGGAUAAAUAUGACUUUGAUUUUGGUCUGUCCAUACCAUCUACAGUUUUGUGCCUACCUUACUCCCCCCUCCAUUUUUAAAAUUUUUUUACACAAAUGUUCCACCCCUUCAUGACUCACAGAAAAUACAAUCUAUUUGAACAUUGGAGUACUGGAAUGGUGAAAAUGGUCCCAGGUUUCAGGGAUCGCCAUCCUAUGGAAAAGGAGUUAGUGAUAUUUUAAAAGCCAAAAUUAAAACCUAGCAAAUUCAACAGCUUAAAAUACUUUAAAACCCUUUUCUGAC